GACAGAGGGUGCAAACGUUGCUCGGAAUCACUGGGCGUAAAGGGCGCGUAGGCGGCCCGCACAAGUCUGCGGUGAAAACCCCCGGCUUAACCGGGGGCCGGCCGUGGAAACUGUCGGGCUGGAGGCUGGGAGAGGGCAGCGGAAUUCCCGGUGUAGCGGUGAAAUGCGUAGAGAUCGGGAGGAACACCGGCGGCGAAGGCGGCUGCCUGGACCAGUCCUGACGCUGAGGCGCGAAAGCUAGGGGAGCAAACGGG
RNAcentral lists this ribosomal RNA (254 nucleotides) under uncultured bacterium. RNAcentral describes it as "partial 16S ribosomal RNA". It matches the Rfam family "Bacterial small subunit ribosomal RNA", at positions 524 to 776 of the family's 1533-position model. The record is from RNAcentral.